RNAcentral lists this ribosomal RNA (841 nucleotides) under Staphylococcus epidermidis. Its description in RNAcentral is "bacterial SSU rRNA". It matches the Rfam family "Bacterial small subunit ribosomal RNA", at positions 81 to 915 of the family's 1533-position model. The record is from RNAcentral. Lineage: Bacteria; Bacillati; Bacillota; Bacilli; Caryophanales; Staphylococcaceae.
CUCCUCUGACGUUAGCGGCGGACGGGUGAGUAACACGUGGAUAACCUACCUAUAAGACUGGGAUAACUUCGGGAAACCGGAGCUAAUACCGGAUAAUAUAUUGAACCGCAUGGUUCAAUAGUGAAAGACGGUUUUGCUGUCACUUAUAGAUGGAUCCGCGCCGCAUUAGCUAGUUGGUAAGGUAACGGCUUACCAAGGCAACGAUGCGUAGCCGACCUGAGAGGGUGAUCGGCCACACUGGAACUGAGACACGGUCCAGACUCCUACGGGAGGCAGCAGUAGGGAAUCUUCCGCAAUGGGCGAAAGCCUGACGGAGCAACGCCGCGUGAGUGAUGAAGGUCUUCGGAUCGUAAAACUCUGUUAUUAGGGAAGAACAAAUGUGUAAGUAACUAUGCACGUCUUGACGGUACCUAAUCAGAAAGCCACGGCUAACUACGUGCCAGCAGCCGCGGUAAUACGUAGGUGGCAAGCGUUAUCCGGAAUUAUUGGGCGUAAAGCGCGCGUAGGCGGUUUUUUAAGUCUGAUGUGAAAGCCCACGGCUCAACCGUGGAGGGUCAUUGGAAACUGGAAAACUUGAGUGCAGAAGAGGAAAGUGGAAUUCCAUGUGUAGCGGUGAAAUGCGCAGAGAUAUGGAGGAACACCAGUGGCGAAGCGACUUUCUGGUCUGUAACUGACGCUGAUGUGCGAAAGCGUGGGGAUCAAACAGGAUUAGAUACCCUGGUAGUCCACGCCGUAAACGAUGAGUGCUAAGUGUUGGGGUUUCCGCCCCUUAUGCUGCAGCUAACGCAUUAACACUCCGCCCUGGGGAGUACGACCGCAGGUGAAACUCAAAGAAUUGACG